RNAcentral lists this ribosomal RNA (119 nucleotides) under Amphilophus citrinellus (Midas cichlid). Lineage: Eukaryota; Metazoa; Chordata; Actinopteri; Cichliformes; Cichlidae. The record is from RNAcentral.
GCUUACGGCCAUACCACCCCGAACCCACCCGAUCUCGUCUGAUCUCGGAAGCUACUUAGGGUCGGGCCUGGUUAGUACUUGUAUGGGAGACCACCUGGGAAUACCAGGUGCUGUAAGCU